This 253-nucleotide ribosomal RNA is filed under the name uncultured bacterium. Its description in RNAcentral is "partial 16S ribosomal RNA". It matches the Rfam family "Bacterial small subunit ribosomal RNA", at positions 524 to 776 of the family's 1533-position model. The record is from RNAcentral.
UACGUAGGGCGCAAGCGUUAUCCGGAAUUAUUGGGCGUAAAGAGCUCGUAGGCGGUUUGUCGCGUCUGCCGUGAAAGUCCGGGGCUCAACUCCGGAUCUGCGGUGGGUACGGGCAAACUAGAGUGAUGUAGGGGAGACUGGAAUUCCUGGUGUAGCGGUGAAAUGCGCAGAUAUCUGGAGGAACACCGGUUGCGAAGGCGACAUCCUGGACCGGUAUUGACGCUGAGGCGCGAAAGCCAGGGGAGCAAACGGG